GGGGCAGUGAAUUGUAAUACGACUCACUAUAGGGCGAAUUGGGCCCCGACGUCGCAUGCUCCCGGCCGCCAUGGCGGCCGCGGGAAUUCGAUUAGAGUUUGAUCAUGGCUCAGAUUGAACGCUGGCGGCAUGCCUUACACAUGCAAGUCGAACGCGAAAGUAGGGGCAACCCUGCGAGUAGAGUGGCGAACGGGUGAGUAAUGCAUCGGAACAUUUCCUGUAGUGGGGGAUAACCUCGAGAAAUCGAGGCUAAUACCGCGUACGUCCUACGGGAGAAAGCGGGGGAUCGCAAGACCUCGCGCUAUAGGAGUGGCCGAUGCCGGAUUAGCUAGUUGGCGGGGUAACAGCCCACCAAGGCGACGAUCCGUAGCUGGUCUGAGAGGAUGAUCAGCCACACUGGGACUGAGACACGGCCCAGACUCCUACGGGAGGCAGCAGUGGGGAAUUUUGGACAAUGGGCGCAAGCCUGAUCCAGCCAUGCCGCGUGAGUGAAGAAGGCCUUCGGGUUGUAAAGCUCUUUCGGCCGGGACGAAAUCGCACCUGCGAAUACCGGGUGUGGAUGMCGGYACCGG
RNAcentral lists this ribosomal RNA (572 nucleotides) under uncultured beta proteobacterium. Its description in RNAcentral is "bacterial SSU rRNA". Lineage: Bacteria; Pseudomonadati; Pseudomonadota; Betaproteobacteria. The record is from RNAcentral.